RNAcentral lists this ribosomal RNA (261 nucleotides) under Triticum aestivum (bread wheat). RNAcentral describes it as "partial small subunit ribosomal RNA". The record is from RNAcentral. Lineage: Eukaryota; Viridiplantae; Streptophyta; Magnoliopsida; Poales; Poaceae.
AUGGACAAGCUGCUGGCCUUCUCUAUCCUGAGCGCCUCGCCGGCCGACAUCGCCCCCGGCGCCGGCGGCAGCUGGGCUCGGGUCUCCUGGCGGGGGAGGAAGCUGCAGGACGACGACAGGGCUGGAGCAGCAGGGAAAGAGGGGAAGCAGGGCGGUCUGCCGGUGGAGUCAGAGGGCCGGACAAAAGGGAAAUCGCAGUCACCGUUGCGUCCGCGGUUCGCGCCGGAGUUCGAUGGAACCGACUGCUUCCAGUGCCAUUGA